GGUCAAGCGAAUAAGCGCACACGGUGGAUGCCUUGGCGGUCAGAGGCGAUGAAGGACGUGGCAGCCUGCGAAAAGUAUCGGGGAGCUGGCAACAAGCUUUGAUCCGGUAAUGUCCGAAUGGGGAAACCCACCCGCUUGCGGGUAUCCUGCAGUGAAUACAUAGCUGCUGGAAGCGAACCUGGUGAACUGAAAUAUCUAAGUAACCAGAGGAAAAGAAAUCAACCGAGAUUCCGUAAGUAGCGACGAGCGAACGCGGACUAGCCCUUAAGCUGAUUUGGUUCUAGGAAAACGCUCUGGAAAGAGCGGCCAUAGAAGGUGAUAGCCCUGUAUCUGAAAGGGCCAUUUCAGUGAAGACGAGUAGGGCGGGGCACGUGAAACCCUGUCUGAACAUGGGGGGACCAUCCUCCAAGGCUAAAUACUACUGACCGACCGAUAGUGAACCAGUACCGUGAGGGAAAGGCGAAAAGAACCCCGGAGAGGGGAGUGAAAUAGAACCUGAAACCGUGUGCGUACAAGCAGUAGGAGCUCCGCAAGGAGUGACUGCGUACCUUUUGUAUAAUGGGUCAGCGACUUACUGUUCGUGGCAAGCUUAACCGUAUAGGGGAGGCGAAGGGAAACCGAGUCUGAUAAGGGCGCAUAGUCGCGGGCAGUAGACCCGAAACCGGGUGAUCUAGUCAUGCCCAGGGUGAAGGUGCGGUAACACGCACUGGAGGCCCGAACCCACUCCCGUUGCAAAGGUAGGGGAUGAGGUGUGAUUAGGAGUGAAAAGCUAAUCGAACCCGGAGAUAGCUGGUUCUCCUCGAAAGCUAUUUAGGUAGCGCCUCAUAUGUAUCCUCUCGGGGGUAGAGCACUGUUAUGGCUAGGGGGUCAUCGCGACUUACCAAACCAUUGCAAACUCCGAAUACCGAGACGGACUGUAUGGGAGACACACGGCGGGUGCUAACGUCCGUCGUGAAAAGGGAAACAACCCAGACCCACAGCUAAGGUCCCAAAUUUUGUGCUAAGUGGAAAACCAUGUGGAAAGGCACAGACAGCCAGGAGGUUGGCUUAGAAGCAGCCACCCUUUAAAGAAAGCGUAAUAGCUCACUGGUCGAGUCGGUCUGCGGGGAAGAUUUAACGGGGCUAAGCACAGAACCGAAGCUUGGGGUGCAUAACUUUGUUAUGCGCGGUAGAGGAGCGUUCCGUAAGCCGUUGAAGGUGGAUUGAGAAGUCUGCUGGAGGUAUCGGAAGUGCGAAUGCUGACAUGAGUAACGAUAAUGCGGGUGAAAAACCCGCACGCCGAAAGCCCAAGGUUUCCUUGCGCAACGUUAAUCGGCGCAGGGUGAGUCGGCCCCUAAGGCGAGGACGAAAGUCGUAGUCGAUGGGAAGCAGGUUAAUAUUCCUGCACCUCGCGUAAGUGCGAUGGAGGGACGGAGAAGGUUAGGUGUACCAGGCGUUGGUUGUCCUGGGGAAAGGCGGUAGGUUUGGAUCUUUGGCAAAUCCGGGAUCCUCUAAGACCGAGCACCGAGACGAGCCUUUAUGGCGAAGUCACUGAUACCACGCUUCCAGGAAAAGCUCCUAAGCUUCAGCUUACGCAGACCGUACCGUAAACCGACACAGGUGGGUAGGAUGAGAAUUCUCAGGCGCUUGAGAGAACUCGGGUGAAGGAACUAGGCAACAUGGCACCGUAACUUCGGGAGAAGGUGCACCCUUUUUGGUGGCUCGUGCGAGCUAUAGCUGAAGAGGGUCGCAGUAACCAGGCCGCUGCGACUGUUUAUCAAAAACACAGCACUCUGCAAACACGAAAGUGGACGUAUAGGGUGUGACGCCUGCCCGGUGCUGGAAGGUUAAUUGAUGGGGUCAGCCGCAAGGCGAAGCUCUUGAUCGAAGCCCCAGUAAACGGCGGCCGUAACUAUAACGGUCCUAAGGUAGCGAAAUUCCUUGUCGGGUAAGUUCCGACCUGCACGAAUGGCGUAACGACAGCGGCGCUGUCUCCACCCGAGACUCAGUGAAAUUGAAAUCGCUGUGAAGAUGCAGCGUUCCCGUGGCAAGACGGAAAGACCCCGUGAACCUUUACUAUAGCUUUACACUGAACGUUGAGUUCGUCUGUGUAGGAUAGGUGGGAGGCUAUGAAACCAUGGCGCUAGCUGUGGCGGAGCCAUCCUUGAAAUACCACCCUGUCGUGCUUGACGUUCUAACCUGGGCCCAUUAUCUGGGUCGGGGACCGUGUAUGGUGGGUAGUUUGACUGGGGCGGUCUCCUCCUAAAGAGUAACGGAGGAGCUCGAAGGUACGCUCAGCGCGGUCGGACAUCGCGCACUGUGUGCAAAGGCAUAAGCGUGCUUGACUGCAAGAUCGACGGAUCAAGCAGGUAGGAAACUAGGACUUAGUGAUCCGGUGGUUCUGUAUGGAAGGGCCAUCGCUCAACGGAUAAAAGGUACUCCGGGGAUAACAGGCUGAUACCGCCCAAGAGUUCAUAUCGACGGCGGUGUUUGGCACCUCGAUGUCGGCUCAUCACAUCCUGGGGCUGUAGUCGGUCCCAAGGGUAUGGCUGUUCGCCAUUUAAAGUGGUACGCGAGCUGGGUUCAGAACGUCGUGAGACAGUUCGGUCCCUAUCUGCCAUGGGCGUUGGAGAUUUGAGAGGGGCUGCUCCUAGUACGAGAGGACCGGAGUGGACGAACCUCUGGUGUUCCGGUUGUCACGCCAGUGGCAUUGCCGGGUAGCUAUGUUCGGAAGCGAUAACCGCUGAAAGCAUCUAAGCGGGAAGCGCGCCUCAAGAUGAGAUCUCCCGGGGCACAAGCCCCCUGAAGGAACCAUGUAGACUACGUGGUUGAUAGGUCAGGUGUGUAAGUACAGCAAUGUAUUGAGCUAACUGAUACUAAUGAUCCGAGAGGCUUGACCAU
Molecule: ribosomal RNA, 2880 nt
Filed under: Stenotrophomonas maltophilia
Lineage: Bacteria; Pseudomonadati; Pseudomonadota; Gammaproteobacteria; Lysobacterales; Lysobacteraceae
Also listed under: 1 other name
Description: 23S ribosomal RNA
Rfam family: Bacterial large subunit ribosomal RNA
Source: RNAcentral